Molecule: long non-coding RNA, 1281 nt
Filed under: Gouania willdenowi (blunt-snouted clingfish)
Lineage: Eukaryota; Metazoa; Chordata; Actinopteri; Blenniiformes; Gobiesocidae
Description: lncRNA (ENSGWIG00000024439.1)
Source: RNAcentral
GAGCAAGUCGUGCGAUCAUUGAGACAGCAAGUACUACUUUGCCUAUGGGCCGAUUCUCAUCACAAUAACCAGCAGGCCAGAGGUUGAUGCUUUAUUUAGUGGUUUAGAAAAUUACAUGCCCUACCCCUGACCAUGGAACUGAUCAGUCCGAACUUCACACACAAUGCCUCUUGCAUCGCCUUUCAAAAGCUCAUAUCAGUUCUUGGUGAGCAUAACUACACUGCAACUGACUUUGGAAGGCAGGAUGUCUUCAUUAGUAUCAAGGAUUACCUCACUUCAGGUAAAUCCUCACAGGAAGUCAUCGGAAAAAACCUUUUUUGAACAAUUUGUUUUGAAAGACGCGUUGACAUAGGAAGUAAAAGAUUAAGCCUUAUAUUGUUGUUUUUUGUAGAAACAAUUCCAAGAUGCUACAAUGAAGCAACCCAGAGCUAAAACUCCACUGCAUGGUUUGCAGAGUACAUUGGCCCAUUCAUAGCCUGUCCUCACAAUAGAGGAUCUUCAUUCAUUUGGAUCUGAAGAGGUCAUCCAAGCUGUUCACUGUGGAUCCACUGAAUAUUGCUCUGCUCAAUCACUCUGUCUUACCUAUAAACCUCACCAACUACUAUACCCAGCUCGUCUAUCAACAGGAUAUAAACUUCAAUCCCCUUCUUCUUCCUCUUUUGUGCCGAUGUGUGGCUCCCGGCCGUGCAUUUGUUCAGCUGACAGCAGAGGAAAGCAGGAUCGUUCAGUUCAACCUAACAAAUAUCUGUACAAAUCUGGACCCACAGGUGUCUGUUGCCUUGGCUGGUAACCUUGGGGAUAACAUUACCUCUACUGACAUUAACGCUCUUGGCUCCAAAGUGACCAGCCUGUCCAUCAACCAGCUUAAGUCUUUGAGUCCAAUGCUGAUCAUGACUCACCUCAGUACUUUUAGUACCAUAUGCGAUUGGAGACACAGUCAGGCCAGAAUCAUCAUCCAGGCUAUGUCUUCUUCAGGAGUGAUGCAGAUGAAUGCAACAUCAUUACUGAGGCUAAACUGUCUCCUCAAGGGCUUUCCCUCCCAACUCCUCCUUGACAUAAAUGGCUCCGAGCUCAUAACUGCCUCCAAAGACUCUUCACUCCUGCAGAACUUGUUGACUGCUCCACAUCUAUUCAGGAAAGAUUUGUUUCUCAGGUAUGAAUGCAUAAGGUAAAAAAAAAAUCCCCAAAAUUUGAAGAGAUUGUAAGGAAGGGUGCAAUAGUCAAUAACAAUUUAAAAUUGUAGUAAGCAUACAAGCUUGUGAUAGCUCAAAAGAGAUAUAU